GACGAACGCUGGCGGCGUGCUUAACACAUGCAAGUCGAACGGAAAGGCCCUGCUUUUGUGGGGUGCUCGAGUGGCGAACGGGUGAGUAACACGUGAGUAACCUGCCCUUGACUUUGGGAUAACUUCAGGAAACUGGGGCUAAUACCGGAUAGGAGCUCCUGCUGCAUGGUGGGGGUUGGAAAGUUUCGGCGGUUGGGGAUGGACUCGCGGCUUAUCAGCUUGUUGGUGGGGUAGUGGCUUACCAAGGCUUUGACGGGUAGCCGGCCUGAGAGGGUGACCGGCCACAUUGGUACUGAGAUACGGCGCAGACUCCUACGGGAGGCAGCAGUGGGGAAUAUUACGCAGUGGGCGGAAGCCUGAUGCAGCAACGCCGCGUGCGGGAUGACGGCCUUCGGGUUGUAAACCGCUUUCGCCUGUGACGAAGCGUGAGUGACGGUAAUGGGUAAAGAAGCACCGGCUAACUACGUG
This 468-nucleotide ribosomal RNA is filed under the name uncultured bacterium. Its description in RNAcentral is "partial 16S ribosomal RNA". It matches the Rfam family "Bacterial small subunit ribosomal RNA", at positions 28 to 507 of the family's 1533-position model. The record is from RNAcentral.